RNAcentral lists this small RNA (578 nucleotides) under Pongo abelii (Sumatran orangutan). RNAcentral describes it as "processed transcript". Lineage: Eukaryota; Metazoa; Chordata; Mammalia; Primates; Hominidae. The record is from RNAcentral.
GAUUACCAUGCCCUGUUCGUGCUCUGCCUCCUCUAUGCCAUGUCUCAUAAUAAAGGCAUGGAUCCUGAAAAAUUAGAGCGAAUCCAGCUCCCUGUGCCAAAUGCGGCCGAGAAGACCACCUACAACCACCCACUGGCUGAAAGACUCAUCAGGAUCAUGAACAACGCUGCCCAGCCAGAUGGGAGGAUCCGGCUGGCGACGCUGGAGCUGAGCUGCCUGCUUCUGAAGCAGCAAGUCCUGACGAGUGCUGGCUGCAUCAUGAAGGACGUGCACCUGGCCUGCCUGGAGGGUGCGAGAGAAGAAAGUGUUCACCUUGUACGACAUUUUUAUAAGGGAGAAGACAUUUUUUUGGACAUGUUUGAAGAUGAGUACAGGAGCAUGACAGCAGAAUCGCGGGAAGCCAUGGGUUCAGAAGAUCCCAGCUUUCUCUGCUUUGCACGUUUGUCUCUGUUAUCCCAGCACCUGCCCUUCGCUAGGUACUCCAUAAGUAUGUGAUAAAUGAUCCUUCUUGUGGAUAUUACGCACCAAAGCAUGUGUGAUUUGGGAAGUUUAUAAUAAACCGAAGUGUUUUAAGUGUC